RNA transcript from Triticum dicoccoides, 6439 nucleotides. It is a transcript of the gene named cyclin-dependent kinase G-1-like, with no coding region annotated. The transcript is spliced from 10 exons. NCBI's taxonomy places the organism in Eukaryota, Viridiplantae, Streptophyta, Magnoliopsida, Poales, Poaceae. The record is from RefSeq and is a predicted model, not a curated record.
ACAGCACGAUAGGCGACGCCGGACGCAGCUUCCUCUUCUUUUCUUCGCGUCGCCCUCCAACCCCACCCACCGCCGCCACCCAGCACCACAAACCCGCACGAUCCCUCUCCGCGUCCUUGGUCGCCGACUUCCGAUAAGCUUUGACGCCGCGCACGCACGAGCUAGCCCAAAGCUCCAGCAUAUUAUCCCCAAUUUCGGAAGAGGUCCGAUCCCCGGUCCGAUCCAGAACACCCUUUUUAUUUUUCUAGGGUUUGGUUUUGGCCCGUGGAUCUAGGGUUUGGUGAGCUAAAUUUCCCGCGAUUCCUUUCGAUUGCUGGGAUUUGUUGUGCCUGCGCAUCAUGGCCGCGGGGCGCCACGGAGGGUACAGUGGUUACGAGGCGUCGAAGGAGCGGGAGUUCGAUCUGGAGGCUUCUAGAAGGGGAAAGGAUUACCAUCACCGCAACCCUAGCCGCCAUCGCGACUCAGAUCGUCGUCGCGAUGGCGGCCGGAGCAGGGACCGGGAGCCGUCAAAUGGGCACACCCGCCACCGGUCGCCACAUCUGCCACCGAAGAGCCGGCCGUCUGGGAGGAGGGAGGAGAGGGAACCUGGCGAGGUUUCGAGCGGAAGUGGCUCGGAAGGGUCUCGUGGGCGGCCGCUCAAGGCAAGGGAACCUGGUGUGAAUGGUGUUGUUGGGGUCAGCAGGGAGGGCGGGGUGCCGUCCCCAAGUAAGAAGAGAAAAUACUCGCUGGUUAUUUUGGAUAGGAAUGCUUCAAAGCCUCGCGUCCAAGAUGUCGGCAACCCGAGCAUGAAAGAGGUAGGCACUGUGGUUGCCAACCCGAGCAGCAUUGAUUUUGAUGCGUCGGUUGAUGUACAAAAUGUUGAAAGAUUACAGGAGCACGACAAUGAUAGGGUUAUUAUGGAGAAGGAUGAGGAGGAUGCUUAUCCAACAAUGAUAAACAUUAGGACUUCACGAUGGGCAGAUGCUGAUGACGAGGAAGAAAUUGUGUCAAAGAAGAAGAAAAGUGUGUCACCAGAACAAGGGUCCGUGAAAAAGGUUACAAGCCCAGAGCUUGGAAAGUUGAUGGUGGAUAAAGACUCAAACUCCUCAGUGUCUUCUGACUCUGGCGUAGUACAGUUUAGUGCAAACAGGGAUCUUGAAGUAGAUAAGGGUGACUACAUGGAUAUCGAGAAGGAUGCUGGGGAUGAUUCUUCUGCUCUUUGUGGGAUGCACACUGAUUCUGAGAGUCAUCGGUGUAGCUCUAGAACCCCAGAGCCCGCAGGGUCGCCGCAUAGGUGCAUUAACAUGCUUCAGGGUUGUAGGGGUGUUGACGAGUUUGAGAGGCUCAACACAAUUAAUGAGGGUACAUACGGUAUUGUAUCUAGGGCAAAGGAUAAGAAAACUGGUGAGAUUGUUGCAUUGAAGAAGGUAAAGAUGGAGAAUGAACGGGAAGGUUUCCCACUGACUUCUCUCAGGGAAAUAAAUAUCCUGCUAUCGUUCCAUCACCCAUCGAUUGUGGAUGUCAAGGAAAUAGUCGUUGGGAGUGGUGACAGCACCUAUAUGGUGAUGGAGUACAUGGAGCACGAUCUCAAGGCUGUCAUGGAGACUAUGAAACAACCAUAUAGUCAAAGCGAGGUCAAAUGUUUGAUGCUUCAGCUGCUAGAAGGUGUGAAGUAUCUUCAUGACAAUUGGGUGAUUCACAGGGAUCUCAAGACGUCUAAUAUUCUCUUGAAUAACCGCGGUGAGUUGAAAAUAUGUGAUUUUGGGCUCUCUCGUCAAUAUGGCAGCCCACUAAAGCCUUACACUCAAUUGGUUGUGACUUUGUGGUACAGGGCUCCAGAACUACUGUUAGGCGCAAAGAAAUAUUCCACUGCUAUUGAUAUGUGGUCGUUGGGUUGUAUUAUGGCAGAACUCCUUUCAAAAAAGCCACUGUUUGAUGGGAAACGUGACAUCGACCAACUUAGUAAGAUAUUUAGAAUGCUUGGUACACCUAACGAGGACAUAUGGCCUGGUUAUUCUAAAUUACCGGGCGCCAAGGCCAAAUUUGCCAAACAACCGUACAAUAGAUUAAGGGAAAAGUUUCCAGCUGUAUCUUUCACUGGUGGGCUGAUCCUGUCAGAGGCUGGAUUUGACCUGCUAAACAGAAUGCUGACGUAUGACCCUGAAACGCGCAUAUCAGCAGAGGAUGCGUUGAACCAUGAAUGGUUCUGUGAAGUACCAUUGCCUCAGUCAAGGGAUUCUAUGCCAACAUUUCAUUCCCUUAAUGAACAAGACAGGCGCAUGAUGAAACGUAUGAAGAGCCCUGAUCCUCUGGAGGAGCAACGAAUGAAAGAACUAGGGAGCAUACACGACCGUGGAAUUUUUAGCUGAGCCCUGAUCUUUUGGUUUGCUGCAGAUGCCAAUCUUCAACAUGAACCUAUGGAAGUGCACGUGUUCCAAGGUCAGAUGUCCACUGGAUAUAUGAAGUACACCGUCUUCUUGGUGUCUGGCGACAGUUGGUGGCCUUCUUUAGCAGGCAUGGAUGCAUAAUCAGAAGGGGAUACGAUUUCUCCUUAUAUUCCGUGCUAGGCACUAUUUCAUUUACAGGGUUAGCUCUUCCCCAACUUCUGGUCACAAUGAACUCUUACUUUACUUUUGGUCACAAUCUAAUCCACUGUGCAUUGUAAGGUGUGCAAAUAUCUCAUACAGCUGCAUCGUAUGGUCUGGCCUAUUCACAGCUAUUGGGUACACCAGUUUCACAUACCGAUCUUCUAGAUGAAUGAAGCGAAGAAGGGGAGUACCUUUUGCUUUUUCGCGAGGAAACUGAUGCAUAGUAAUGCAAAUUGUAAGCUUAAGCUGUGGCUAUCAAGACAGGAAGCUCGAGUGCUGUCAGCUUACCUUGCUUAAUUGACUUUCUUUGUGGAAGGUACCGACAAUGGAAAAGAGAAUGAGUGAGAUUCAGGCAAGUGAGAUGUUGAUGCGAUGCUUUUGUUUGCAUCAAGACAGAAACAAAGAAGCUUAUUGUGAGUGCUGGACCGAACUGUUUAUGGGUUCUCACUUGCAUAUCCUUCAUGAAUUCCUACACAAAAUCAUGCACCACUAUUGUUUUCUAUCAUUGUUUUCUACUCCCUCUGUUCCAAAAUAAGUGUCAUGGAUUUAGUUCAAAUUUGAACCAUGUCAGUUAUUUUGGAACAGAGUAUUUGUAUAAGUUGAUUGUAUUGUGUUAGUUUAGAUAGAAGACUGUUAAGUCGUGUCCAUAGUGGGCUAUCUAAAAGGUUGAUGGUUUCAAACUUCUUUAGUGGCACUUCAUCUUUAGUUAUCAGUUACAGCGUGGUAAAUAUUUUACUGGACAGUUCAUUGAAAUGUCGUUUCUUAUUCCGUGAAUGCAAGAUCAUUGUCAAAGGCAUGUCUGUAUUCCGUGAAUGCAAGAUCAUUCUCAAAGGCAUGCAGUUCAUUGAAAUAUCGUUUCUUAUUCCGUGAAUGCAAGAUCAUUGUCAAAGGCAUGUCUGUAUUCCGUGAAUGAAAGAUCAUUCUCAAAGGCAUGCCGGUUUCCAGCGCAUCCUCUUGGUCAGCUGUUGCAGACGAAAUGCCUGCAGCAGAGCAUUCUACGAUGAACCUUAUUGUACCUUUUCAAAACAAAUUAGUACAUACAUUUUGGACAGAAAUGCUAUCUAACAUUGUAAACCAUUUCUCUAUUUUGCUGUCGUUUCUAAGUCAAGGGUCAAUUCUGCUGUAGCCUGAGUUUUUGAAUGAAAGUGCUGAAAUUUUGAUCAAAUAAGUUUGGCUUGGAAGCCUUGUAAAUCAUGGCAAGGUCUGGUGAUGUGCCCCCCAAUGCCAAAGGUUUACUUGGGUGCUUUCCAACUGUUGAAACUGUUGAACAAAAGACAAGCAUGGCCAUUUGUUUUGAUGCAAGUAUCCAAGAGUCUUCACGUUAUAAUCUUCCGACCAUGUUACAGCUUGGGUCUUUUUGCUUUGAGGUUUCACCCAACGAGCCAGAGAAGGAUAAAGUGAAGCCAAACUUCAGGACCCCUCCAACAUGAAUUAAUAUCAGUACUACUUUUCAUGUCUGCUGGAGUAGUGCCAAGCAUGCAGGCAAACAAAUCGAUACUUAAGUCUAAAUUAGCAACAAGUUCUGGUUAGCUAGUUUAGUUUUUCUCUCCGAGAUGUAAAAGGAGAGGAUAUCGCAUGUUAGUUCAGGUCAUCAAGUCGGUUACAUAUUUUAGGCCCUUACGGCAUGUGAGCUUAUAUAAAGGAGGAGUCGCGAGUCUUGUAAGGGAGAUUAGUUUUGAGUUGAAUAGAAAAAUACCAGAAAAUGCCUCACGGCGAGGGGUGGCAAAGAUGCGUUUUGCGAUUCCUAGGAUCUCGUUGUUGCUGUUCCUGUGUUGAUCUCGUAUCAAUAUCCGGUACAAGUCUACUCCUUUGGCUUCUUGCUAUAUGGUUUUGAUCCAAAGGCUUUUCUUCUUCUUAGUCUGUUUGUUUUAUUCUGUGACGGUUGCUGCUGCUGUUCAUUGAUAUUUUGCAAGUACCGUGAAGGAUCGGACCAACUAGCGACUCGUCGUCUAGUCGAGUCACAUCAUCUGGUCCAGUAUUUGAUAAUCUUCUAUGUAGUAUCGAAACUGCCUCCUUUCACGCGAACAUUUCGAAUAAGAAAUGCUAUCCAGUUUCAAUAGGCAUUUCUCUAUUUUUGUUGUCGUUAGGUCAAGGAUCAAUUGUGCGGUAGCCAGAGUUCUUAAAUGAAGUGUUUAAAGGUUUUGAUCAAAGUUUGGCUUGGAAGCCUUUUAAAGCAUCGCUAAGGUCAGGUCCAGUAUUUGAUAAUCUUGGACUAUCGAGAACUGCCUCCAUUCAUGAUGUAUGUGCAUUUGAUUUUGACAGUAAAUAUCUUGAUUCCUACUCAAUAAUUCAAGAUAUCACCUGAGCCUGCCCCCAUGCAAUUUAUUGCAUAUUUUGCAGGUUCACGUUUGGGAAUUAAAGUGUAUUAAUUAUUAUCCUGUGUGGAUUAUGGUUUGUUAGUAGUGUUAACAUAUGAUCACGACUAGUAAGGUGGAGAAGUGCUCUUUUAUUUCUAGCUUUUAUUGUAUUUUUGGUUGCACCACCUGUGCCAGCUUGUCUCCAACUGGAUUAGCCUGUCCUAACCCAUCAUACACUAAUGUCUGCAUAUGAAGGAUAAAAUCACCUCCGUAACUAAAUAUGAGACUUUUUUUAGUUCAAUUUGAACUGCAAAAACAUCUUAUAUUUAGUUGCAGAGGCAGCAUUAACUUGUACUCCCCAGUUUAUUUGAUGUAUAUAUGCCCUUCCUAACCCUGUGCACAGCAACGAUGGAACUUGAAUUAGUAUUGCAGAGGCAAAGAAGCUUCUGCGGUCUCUCUGGCUUCUGACCAUUUGUGUUCUGUCAGACCGAAAAAACCCUAAGGUGUUGCAAGAGUGCCUGCAGAUAAAGUUAGUACAAAGUUGAGACAUUUAUUUUGGGAUGGGGGGAGUAUUUCUUUUACCUCUUAGGGUUAUGGUUGUAUCUAUCUAAAUUUGGUAAAGUGAUGUGGUAUCAAGAUGAGUACAACUUGUUUUCUUUUUCCUGUAACGUGGUAACAAUGUCCCUGACAGUUUUGCCGUCUGAGAUUUCUCGAUAAUGUGCAGCUGAUUCACCUGAGAAUAUGUCUUCAUGAGAUAAAGCAAUAUAACUUGUUUGUAGUGGGCUUUGCUAGCGACAAUGAACUGUAAAAUGAGGCGGUAUAUCUCACCAAGGAAAAGGAAGUUGGAAAACAAUUGUGCAAGCUAUUUGAAAGGGAAGAGAUAAUAGCCCGUCUAGAGUAGAGUGGACCAAAGUUGGAGACCGCAACACUUCUUUUUUCCAUGCUAGGGCGUCAGUAAUAUGAAGAACAAACAUGAUUAAAGGUUUGUGAAGGGCUGACAACACAAAGUGUGAAGAUCAGAAAGGCAUGUUAAGCCUAGUCCAUGAAUUUUGUGUGAACCUGUUUUCUUCUGAACAAUGUUCAUUACUAAAUGAAGUAUUGAAUGCAAUUCCAAGGAAAUUCGAUGAUGAAAUGAAUGAAGUUUUGGCCAGGGAAUACACCAAUGAAGAAAGUAAAUAUGCUCUAUUCCAGAUGGGGCCGACAAAGGCAUCGAGGCCAUAUGGAUUUUCGGCUAUCUUUUAUCAAAGGCACCGGUACCUCUUGGAGCAAGAUUUAUGUUCAGCUGUGAGAGGCUUCUUAAUGGGUCAAACACUCCAGAUGGCUUCUGUGACUCCAUAAUUGUACUAACUAGAUGAUGCCCUGCGCGUUGAUGCGGGAUAUUUUUUAGAAUUUUGUUAGAAAGAUCAGGAUCCAAUUUGAAGUGCCAUAAAGCACUGACUUGCACAUUCUGCAUCAUAGUGGAUGUCUAGAUGACAUCAACAGAGUUGAUGCAGAUAAAUGUAGUCUCACAUGAUGACACAUUGGUACCUUUUGCAUCCCUCAAAAUACCUAGAAGAUGAGAAUGUUUCUCAGUCA